Molecule: small nucleolar RNA, 86 nt
Filed under: Cyprinodon variegatus (sheepshead minnow)
Lineage: Eukaryota; Metazoa; Chordata; Actinopteri; Cyprinodontiformes; Cyprinodontidae
Description: Small nucleolar RNA SNORD35 (ENSCVAG00000000769.1)
Rfam family: Small nucleolar RNA SNORD35
About the family: U35 is a C/D box snoRNA located in intron 6 of ribosomal protein L13A and intron 3 of ribosomal protein S11 in humans and at homologous positions in mouse and chicken ribosomal protein genes. U35 guides the methylation of 2'-O-ribose sites in 28S rRNA.
Source: Rfam by way of RNAcentral
UACAAAUGAUGUCUUUUCUCACGAUGGUCUUCCAAGCCCUUCUGGGUUCUGACGACAAUGCCUAUUGGCAACACUGAUGUAGUUGG